This 119-nucleotide ribosomal RNA is filed under the name Pteropus alecto (black flying fox). The record is from RNAcentral. RNAcentral also lists the same sequence under 1 other name. Lineage: Eukaryota; Metazoa; Chordata; Mammalia; Chiroptera; Pteropodidae.
GUCUACAGCCAUCCUACCCUGAACAAGCCCGAUCCUAUCUGAUCUCGGAAGCUAAGCAGGGUCGGGCCUGGUUAGUACUUGGAUGGGAGUCUACCUAGGAAGACCAGGUGCUCUUGUAG